UACUAAUGACAAACACGUUGUACGGACAAACCCUUAAAUCCCUCAAUGUUAUGUCAAAUGAAUUAUAGCGAGGAAAGGCAAAUUUAAUUUAAUAUCAAAACUAAAUAUUUGUUAUAUUUCGCUCCUGAUUUCUCAAGAAAUCAUAGAAUCAAUAAAUGUAUAAAUUUUAAUUAUGCAUGUCUGUGUGAGAUCCAUUUCAUGAGACCAAGGAUUUCUAUAAAAUCCUUGAUGGGACCCUUUAUAUAUACAGUUUUCUAUUUUCCCCGGAAAUUUUUUUACAAAAAUAUAAUCUUUUGGGAAAUAAUCCGAUUUUGUUGAAUUAUUUCCCUUCAUAAUUACGAUAUAUCCUUUUAGUUCUUCAAUUUUAAAUUAAAAUAAAUAUUUCAUUUUGAUCUAACGACAAACUUUUUAAAUUGUAGUGGCAUGGUCAGUCAACUGAUUAGUUGCAUGGCUGAUUACCAGUUUACUGGCGACCCAGUAAUUUUCCAUAUAACAGUGGCGUGUACCCUUGGGGUCUUCUUCUGACCGGCAAUCAUGUGAUAACCUUAGCAGUAAUGAAAAUGGAACGUCCAGUGGGCUGUGCUCAGCCACGUCCGAAUGGGGACGUUGAAUUCUUGCAACAACUCUUCGAGUGGACUGUAAGUAGCCUGGUAUUAGGCCAAUUUUCUGUCCCUCCUUUUUCAUAGGCAGUCGAAAUUUUCCGACCGUAUCACGGGCGGUCUCAAUUACAAGACCUACAUGUACCUAUCAUAUAUUAUUCGGUACGCCAGACACACCCGACAUUAAUCAACCAAAAACUCAAUAUUUUACAGUAGGGAAUGAAUAUCUCCCACGUUCACUUGUCCCUUGAAGGAUCAAUAUUGAAUUUCUUCCAAUCGCCCCCCCCCCCCCUUUUUUUAUAAGAUUACAUUAUGGCGUAUGUUUUUUUUUUAAUUUUACGAAAGACCAACAAAUCGAUUUUUAUCACCAAAUUUGUCUUUGCUGAGAUAACACUAAAACGUAACGAUUGAAAACUCACAGUUCAGUUUUUAAGAUAUUUUUUUCUUUGGAAACUAACAGACUAAUUUUCAAAAAGUUUUUUCUUGAACCAUUAUUUAUUAAAACGAAUUUGUAAACAAAAGUUAUUCUUAAAUAUUGAUAAUGAUCAAUGAUUGUAAAGAAAAAUCCAUCAUAGUAGUUUGUUAAUUUACUGGAUCCAUGGUGUUAAACAUGUCACCUUUCUUUUACAAAUAACUGAUUAAAAAUAUGAAGCCUUUACUGUAAAAUAAA
Long non-coding RNA from Mytilus californianus (California mussel), 1269 nucleotides. RefSeq lists it as uncharacterized. The transcript has 2 exons. NCBI's taxonomy places the organism in Eukaryota, Metazoa, Mollusca, Bivalvia, Mytilida, Mytilidae. The record is from RefSeq and is a predicted model, not a curated record.